ACGCUGGAAAAUUUAAUUGGCAGUCGUAUUAUCUGACGUUAUUUUCCCCAGCUUUGUUCACUUACAAAGAUUCUAAGCGAUUACGUCCAUGGAGAUGUUUUUAGAGUGCGUUUCCACUGACGCGAAGUUGCGCGGAGUGGAGCGGAGUAUACCGUGAAUUGACUAAUCACAGUGCUCGAAAUCUCCAUACCGCAUCAUCUAGAAGCAGUGUAAAUGGGGCAAAGCAGAAUUGAUCGAACUUUCAAAGAACAUAUAUAUGAAUAUUGAAUACGCUUCCCCAACGGAGUCGAGGAGCUAAGCGGAACGCACGAAGCGGAGUAAAGCGGGAUAAUGCGGAGCAUUCCGUAGGGUAUAUUGGUCAGUAAAAGAUUCGUUUGCAGGGUUAGUUUAGUUAGCGACGUCACAAUGGAUGAGAGAUUAAAUGAAUAAAUAAAUUGAAGCGAAAA
Molecule: long non-coding RNA, 446 nt
Organism: Melitaea cinxia (Glanville fritillary)
Lineage: Eukaryota; Metazoa; Arthropoda; Insecta; Lepidoptera; Nymphalidae
Exons: 2
Source: RefSeq, a predicted model, not a curated record